This 1023-nucleotide ribosomal RNA is filed under the name Alkalihalobacillus sp. RNAcentral's name for it is "bacterial SSU rRNA". It matches the Rfam family "Bacterial small subunit ribosomal RNA", at positions 63 to 1054 of the family's 1533-position model. Lineage: Bacteria; Bacillati; Bacillota; Bacilli; Caryophanales; Bacillaceae. The record is from RNAcentral.
CGACGUAAAAGUGGGAGCUUGCUUCCUUAAUCUUAGCGGCGGGAGGGGUUGAGUACCCCGUAGGGCAACCUGCCCUGCAGACUGGGAUACUCCGGGAAACCGGAGCUGAUACCGGGUAAUACAUCGCACCGCAUGGGAAAUGUUGAAAGUUGGCUUUCGAGCUAACACUGCAUGAUGGGCCCGCGACCCUUUAGCUAGUUGGUAAGGUAAUGGCUUACCAAGGCGACGAUUCGUAGCCCGACCUGAUGGGAGUGAUCGGACCACACUGGGAUCUAAGACACGGCCAGACUCCUACGGAGGCAGCAGUAGGGAAUCUUCCGCAAUGGACGAAAUUCUGAUGAAUCACCGCCCAGUGAGUCACCAAGGCCUUCGGGUCUUAAAGCUCUGUUGUUAGGGAAGAACAAGUACCGUUCGAUUAGGCUGUUACCUUGACGGUCCCAAUCCAGAAAGCCACGACUAACUACGUGCGAGCAGCCGCGGUAUUACGUAGGUUGGCAAGCGUUGAUCCGGAAUUAUUGGGCGUAAAGCGAGCGCAGGCGGACUUUUAAGCCUGAUGUGAAAGCCCACGGCUCAACCGUGGAGGGUCAUUGGAAACUGGAGGACUUGAGUCCAGAAGAGAAGAGUGGAAUUCCACGUGUAGCGUUCAAAUGCGUAGAUAUGUGGAGGAACACCAGUGGCGAAGGCGGCUCUCUGGUCUGUAACUCACGCUAAUCCGAAAUGCGUGGAGAGCAACCAGGUUCAGAUACCCCUGGUAGUCCACGCCGUAAACGAUGAGUCCUAGGUGGUUGAGGGUUCCACCCUCAGUGCUGAAGUUAACACUUUAGGCACUCCACCUGGGAGAGUACGACCGCAAGGUUGAAACUCAAAGGAAUUGACGGGGGCCGGAACAAGCAAGUUGGAGCAUGUGGUUUAAUUCGAAGCAACGCGAAGACCUUACCAGGUCUUGACAUCCGCAUGAACAAUCCAUGGAGACAGGGAAGUUCCUCUUCGGGGGACAGAGUGACAGGUGGUGCAAUGAUGUCG